GAGGGUACAGCUCAGUGGUAGAGCACAUGCUUAGCAUGCAUGAGGUCCUAGGUUCAAUCCUCAGUACCUCCA
RNAcentral lists this transfer RNA (72 nucleotides) under Camelus bactrianus (Bactrian camel). It matches the Rfam family "tRNA". Rfam says of the family: Transfer RNA (tRNA) molecules are approximately 80 nucleotides in length. Their secondary structure includes four short double-helical elements and three loops (D, anti-codon, and T loops). Lineage: Eukaryota; Metazoa; Chordata; Mammalia; Artiodactyla; Camelidae. The record is from Rfam by way of RNAcentral. RNAcentral also lists the same sequence under 2 other names.